Molecule: long non-coding RNA, 967 nt
Organism: Gasterosteus aculeatus aculeatus (three-spined stickleback)
Lineage: Eukaryota; Metazoa; Chordata; Actinopteri; Perciformes; Gasterosteidae
Source: Ensembl
GCUAUCGAGUCAUUUCCUGUCCCAAUUACCAGACGCCAGCUGCGGCGAUUUCGCCUUACCUGUGACAGUGUAAACCGAUCAUAAUCCUCUAGUUUUCCUCGGCAGGAUGUAUAACAGCAACAGGCGGUUGAUGCGGUGGGCGUUGAUUGUACAGGGGUACAAUUUAACGAUCCAGCAUAUUAAGGGUUCUGACAACGUUGUCACUGAUGCACUCUCGCGAGUCUGGUGAGAGAUUUGUUGCCAGGGGUCUCCGUUGACAGGUUACGUGGUGUACUGUCGGUGUGACACUAACUGUAUGUUGUGUCAUUUUAUGGUGGGCGUGUUACGUCCCCUGUUCUGUGUAUAGGUAUGUGUUCUGUUUUGUGUGUGUGUGUGUGUGUUCAUACAGGUGGUACUGAUCAUCCAUGAUCUCCGUUCAUCUUGGCUCCACCCACUCUCGUUACCCGGUUCAGCUGUUUCCACUCAUCUCCAAUCCCAUCAUGCCCUUCUGUCAGUAUAUGUACCCCUGUGUUUGUUUCACCCGGGGAGGGUGUCACUCCGGUUGUGUGUAUGGAGUGCUGGUGUAUGGUAGUUAUUUAGUUCUGGUGAUUUGGUGUACUGUGUAUUCAAUUAAUUGUUUUUUUUUCUUUUGUUCUUUUUCUUACAGGGGGAUGAGGAGUAGUUUAGCCCUGCUCCGGAGUUUACAUACCUGCACGUAGGGUUACUCUCCUGUCUAACAACACUAGCUACACCUGGCUGGGCCACCUACUGUAAGUUUGGUUAGGGCGUCUUGUUAGUGUGCCAGUUAGUGGUUUUCGUUGGGAGAUAGGACAGGUAAGGGGGUGGGAGGCAUUUUGUUCUUUUCUUUGCUUUGGUACCGCCAGCCCUCCUCAUUUCCCCUGUUAACAGCGCUUAAAUAAAAGCCUGCUUACCCCAACUUCAGGUGAUGUUGUUUUCUUGCACCUACGACGCCAUACCCGUUUACUGG